GUCUGAGGUCUUCAAGAAGCAAAUUGAUAACCUGAAGACAAAUCACAGAGGCACCUUUGUGUUGCAAGACAAUCGUUUUCGUUGGCUGUCGCGAAUGUCAGUUGAUCCUUCUAUAGAAACUCUUGGUUCUAUUCAAGAUCCUUCAGCGAUGGCUGAAAACAAAGCUGCACAAGCCAUAGGAAUGCAUCUCUAUUUCCCAUGUGGAAUCAUAAGGGGAGCACUUUCAAACCUUGGAAUUCCUUGUGCAGUUUCUGCAGAUAUAUCUAAUCUUCCUGCUUGUUCAUUUGUGAUACGAAUAAAAGCAUGAUGGGCUUUUGCAAGAAGAGUGAAUUAUCCAAAUGAGCCAUUUCUGUGCUUAGUAUGUUCAACAACUCUCUCACAUGAAUGUCCUGUAUUAUGUUAUGACUCUAGACUCUAAAAGAAAGGAUUUUUUCCAGAGAAAUGGUGGUUCACAUAUGAAACAAACAUUGUAUAGGUCUUCCGAGUACAAGCUUUCUUCUUCAUGAUACAACAUACAGUCCUCUUUCUACCGAACUUGUUGAUACAAUUUAUCUUCUGGUUUCAUGAUCCAUUUCUAUAUGCUAAG
Molecule: unclassified non-coding RNA, 586 nt
Filed under: Hevea brasiliensis (rubber tree)
Lineage: Eukaryota; Viridiplantae; Streptophyta; Magnoliopsida; Malpighiales; Euphorbiaceae
Source: RNAcentral